GACGAACGCUGGCGGCGUGCCUAAUACAUGCAAGUCGAACGAGAGCGACCGGUGCUUGCACUGGUCAAUCUAGUGGCGAACGGGUGAGUAACACGUGGGUAACCUGCCCAUCAGAGGGGGAUAACAUUCGGAAACGGAUGCUAAAACCGCAUAGGUUCUUCGAACCGCCAUGGUUUGAAGAGGAAAAGAGGCGCAAGCUUCUGCUGAUGGAUGGACCCGCGGUGCAUUAGCUAGUUGGUGAGGUAACGGCUCACCAAGGCCGUGAUGCAUAGCCGACCUGAGAGGGUGAUCGGCCACAUUGGGACUGAGACACGGCCCAAACUCCUACGGGAGGCAGCAGUAGGGAAUCUUCCGCAAUGGACGCAAGUCUGACGGAGCAACGCCGCGUGAGUGAAGAAGGUUUUCGGAUCGUAAAACUCUGUUGUUAGAGAAGAACAAGUGCUAGAGUAACUGUUAGCGCCUUGACGGUAUCUAACCAGAAAGCCACGGCUA
RNAcentral lists this ribosomal RNA (492 nucleotides) under uncultured bacterium. Its description in RNAcentral is "bacterial SSU rRNA". It matches the Rfam family "Bacterial small subunit ribosomal RNA", at positions 28 to 499 of the family's 1533-position model. The record is from RNAcentral.